Molecule: long non-coding RNA, 3425 nt
Filed under: Sus scrofa (pig)
Lineage: Eukaryota; Metazoa; Chordata; Mammalia; Artiodactyla; Suidae
Description: lncRNA (ENSSSCG00000061328.1)
Source: RNAcentral
UUUUUUUUUUGUUUUUGUUUUUUUUUUUCUUUUUCAGCUACAUUUGUGGCAUGUGGAAGUUCCCAGGCAAGGGAUCAAAUCUCAGCCACAGCUACAAUCUAUACCACCGCUGUGGCAGUGCCAGUUCCAGCCACAGCUGGAACUCCUCUAUCAUACAUUUAAUUUUUUCUUAUAAGUUAUGAAUGGGGUAUAUAUCUACAUUGUAUAAAAUCUGAAAAAAUGUGAAAGAACAUAAAGUGAACAUUCGGUUUCCCCGUCAUUCCUAUUACCCAAAGAAGUCAUUAUCAUUAAGUUUUUUAUGUCCUUCCUGAGAUAGUUUAUAGAUUUACACACACACAUAAACACAUGCAGACACACAUAUUCAUAGUGUAUUAGUUUCUGCACUACACUUUUUAAAUUUCACAUACUGAGUUUCCUUUAACACACAGUUCCACAGCAGUCAUGAACUAAGUACGCUACCUCAUUCUUUUUAACAGCUGCAUAGUACACUACUUUUCACAGUUGUGCUAUCUUGUAUUAACCCAGUGCUCUAUUGGCAGACACUUGGGUUGUUUCCAGCUUUUGCCACUAAAACAACACUGUAAUAAUUCUCCUUGUACAUACAUCAUGAGACACAAAUGGAAAUGGAUUGGCAGGGUAAGUUCCUAAAAGCAGAAGUCCUGGUCCAAAAGUUUGUGCAUUUUAAAUUUGAUAGAAAUUGCCAAUCAUCUUCCAAGAGGGUGUGCAAUUUAUCUUUCCACCUGAAGAGUCUGUGGGCCUCCUGGAUGGCCCCGAUAAUCCUCAUUUGGUAUUCAUGUCCGAAAGUGUUCUCCUUCCGCAUUAAAUCAGUUUUUCAUGUACUUAAAAGUUUAUAGCUACUUCUCUGUGAACUACGUAUUUUCCCUAAAUACAGUGGACCCUCUGUAUCCACUGGGGAUUGGUUUCAGGAUCCCUAUGGAAACCAAAAUCCAUAAGCGCUCAAGCCUCUUAUAUAAAAUAGGGUAGUAUUUCCAUAUGACCUACACACAUCCUCCCGUGCACUGUAAAUCAUCUUUAAAUUAUUUAAUACAAUGUAAAUGCUAUGUAAAUAGUUACAAAAACAACAUAAAUGCUGUGUAAAUGGUUGUAAAUACAAUAUAAAUGCUAUACAAAUAGUUGCAGGUAGAUGGCAAACUCAAGUUUAAUUUUUUUUCCCCCUUUCCUCUUUUUGGCCAUGUUCACAGCAUGCAGAUGUUUCCAGGCCAGGGACUAAAGCCACACCACAUCAGUGACUAUGCCAGAUCCUUAACCUGCCAUACCACCAAGGCCUUUUGCUUUUUGGAAUUUUCUGGAAUUCUUUUUUCACAUUUUUUCCAUUUGCAGUUGGUUGCAGAACCCACAGACACAUGGGGUACAAACUGACUACACGUCAUUUUUCACAGAGGCAUAAUAUUCCACUCAAUGAGUUUAAUGUAACCAACCUAAUCAUUUGUUUAUUAUUAUUAGACACUGAAGUAAAUUUCCAUUAUUUUUGGUAUUCACAAUACUGGGAUAGGAGUUCCCACUGGGGAGCAAUGGGAUUGGCAGCAUCUCAAGAGCACUGGGACAUAGGUUAGAUCUCCGCCCAGCACGGUAGGUUAAAAGAUCUGGUGAUCCUUGGCUCAGGAACUCCAUGUGACUAGGGGCAGCCAAAACAAACAAACAAAUAAUAAUAAUAUUGGGAUAAAUAUCACAAAUCUGUGUCCAUACAGUUGAUUAUUUCCUGAAAAGAGGUUGUUAUAAAGGAACUUACUGGGCCGAAGUGCAUUUUCAGACAGUGUAAUAGAGCUGUCUUGCAAUCUGUCUAGUUUUUAAGCCUCCUUAUACAAAUUUGGAAACUCCUUCUCAUAACAGUACCUGCAGUAUCCAUCUCAUCCGCAUCCUUCACCAAAGCCAGUAUUUUAAAAAAGGGUUGCUGGAGUUCCCAUUGUGGCAUAGCAGGUUAAGGAUCUGGUGUUUUCUCUGAAGCAGCUCAUAUCACUUCUGAGACUCAGGUUCCAUCCCUGGCCCAGUGCAGCAGGUUAAGGAUCCAGCAUUACCACACCUAUGGCAUAGGUGGCAACUGCAGCUCAGAUUCAAUCCCUGGCCCAGGAACUUCCAUAUAGAAGUUUUGGUUCUACCAAAACAAACAAACAAACAAACAAACGUUGCUAAUCUCAAAGACAAAAAAUGCUCUCAACACUGCUUUUGAAAAGCAUCCUCUCUGAGAACACUAACUGAAGCUAUGGGGGCAUCAAGGCAUGAGUAGUCAGCAGGGGUGUUUCAGGGCCUCUGGCAUCAUCACAAAUUCCCAUUGUCACCUGAAUGGCACCUGACAUGAACCUACCUUGGACAAUAGCUUAAACAAAGGCAACUGUUAGGGUUGUGAGGACCACUGAAGCUGAGAUCCUACUGCUUAAAGCUUUGGCCACAAUGGAUGCCAGAUUUCUGGUGCAGCUCUGAUUACAUACAUUCUGGUCAUAAUCCCACAAGCUCACACAUGCUUGUCAGACCUUGUGUCCCCAGAUGGGGUGUGGAAAAUGUGGAAGCAAAUCUCAUCAUAUAUGCAUAUCCUUGGCUCACACUCCCCAAGUCCAGAAGAGCCAGGCCAGGCAUUUAGGAUAAUUAGGAUGUCCCUAAGAAUGAAGGUGGUUGGAGCCCAGGACCCUGUCAGCUAGCUAAGGGGCAAAGGCUCCCAAAGGGAAAGCCCAGGCCCCCACUGCUGUGAAUUUCCCCUUGGUGGAGGUUAAGAAUCCUCCAGGACUCAAGAGGUUCUUUGAGAAAACCUCACACCAAGAGAGAGGUCAUAUGGUAAUAGUUAGGCUACAGGCCUCCCUUCCUGCCCAGUGCCAGGCUGUCCCACUGAGCGCUCAGGAUCCUUCCCUCUUACCUGACAUGCCCCCCCCCAUCCUGCCCUGAACAUUUCCCCAGUCUCACAGCCAGCCCUUGACUUGUUGGCCCUGCUUCCAGCAUGUAACAGCCUCCAGUCUCCCUGCCUGCCUUUCUCACUUGAAAACGGUGGAUUGCAGGCCUUCCCCAGGACCUUGGGGUAGUAACAGAAGUAGGAAACUAACUGCCUGCUUUCCACACCUGAAGUUAAUUCGGACACUUUGGGCCAAGGCACCCAAGAAGUCCCCUAGCAAAGGCUCAGCUUUCCUGAGACACUGGCUGUAAGUCAGGCCCUUCCAGAUUCCCAUACAUGUGGUGACUUUAUUAUCCAGACGAACUCAUCUAACAAAGGACAUCUAACAAAGCAGGGUUCUCUCUGAUUGUACUACUUCGGAAAUUCUCCUAAAGGUAAAAAACUAUUUAGUGAGUAGUUUUCAGGUCAAGGAAAGAUAGGCUAUAAGGGAAAAAUUCUCAAAAGGUUAAUCUUUGUCUUUUUUUCUUUUGGGGAACUUCCUGAACUUUUAUACGAUAAGAAAAAUCAUCCAUGUUGGGAAGUUCCC